UACGUAGGGUGCAAGCGUUGUCCGGAAUUAUUGGGCGUAAAGAGCUCGUAGGCGGUUUGUCGCGUCUGCUGUGAAAACCCGAGGCUCAACCUCGGGCCUGCAGUGGGUACGGGCAGACUAGAGUGCGGUAGGGGAGAUUGGAAUUCCUGGUGUAGCGGUGGAAUGCGCAGAUAUCGGGAGGAACACCGGUGGCGAAGGCGGGUCUCUGGGCAACAACUGACGCUGAGGAGCGAAAGCGUGGGGAGCGAACAGG
This 253-nucleotide ribosomal RNA is filed under the name uncultured bacterium. Its description in RNAcentral is "partial 16S ribosomal RNA". It matches the Rfam family "Bacterial small subunit ribosomal RNA", at positions 524 to 776 of the family's 1533-position model. The record is from RNAcentral.